GCCGUAAAGCCGCCGCACUUCCAGCCACCUGUUGCUGGCUAUUAAACCUCCGCAGGCUGCAAACAGGAGAACUCGGAGUGACAGGAUCGCUUCUCUAAUGAGGACAUCUGUUUCUGAAGGUGCGAAGUUUGGAAACCACUUCCGUGUCCCUCUGGUUCCUGGGACACUGUGCUGCUGUCCUGCCAGACCUAGCUUCAGGUGGCCAAAACGUCCCCUGACCUGGCCAGCACUUCUCUGUGCCCAGACAGCCUGGGACAGGGGCCUGUUAAAACUGAACCCAUAACUUUCCCUUCCUUUUUCCUUUAAUCCCAGUGCCACACAAAGGACCUCAUCAUCUCAGCUAACAGACAAAAAGAGCACUUUUACUCACUGCCUUUACUGCUAUCCAAUAUCUCUCCUUGCACUGGCAUCCUCAGCUCUCCAAACAGGCAGCCUUGGUGUUUCAUUAUCACUUAUCUCCAGUGCACAAGCUAUUCCUACUUUUGCCAUGAAAUUAACCGCCUGAGAAUUUUACUUAUUUCAGCAAUGGAUAGGAAAGAGAGGUUUUCAUCACAGAAUGCACUGGCAUAAUUACUUUGUUUAGUGGCAUGAUGGUUUUUUUCUUCACUUAUGCGUCUUAGAUUGAAGUGUAAUACUAGUACAGCCAAGUGCAAUACGCUCAUCCUACCCACAGUAAAGUGCCUUGUCUUGGCAUAGUUCAUUCUUCUUCCUAAAACAAGUUGACACUACCUUAUGCAGAUUAAAUUUUAUAUUGAUAUACAUAUAUCCACAACAGGAAAGCUGUGUGAAUUAACUUUACCACUUCUGACUGUAGGCAAGACCCAGGUCUGCAUAAACAUAAAUUCUGUUUUCAGCAAUAGUCUUGACAUAUGAACACAAAUGCAAUGUUCUUUUGAAAACAAAACAUACAAGGGAAUAUAAACACCUAUAAAUGUGAGAAAUUCCAUAUAUAUUCGACUGUAACAUAUACUUCAUAUAUAUAGCUACGUAUUAAUCAAAUUCAGGUGACUAUAUAUGCAUAUAAAAUAAUGUAUUUCUCCAAAAGUUAAUACCUUUCACAUUUUCACAUCAACCUGUGUAUGAAGCAUUAGGUUUCAGCAGUACCCAUUAUGUUAGUAACUUAUAUAUGUAAUGUAAUUGCUGGCACACCUAAUACCUAGGAAUGUUUCCUGUUGAAUAAAAGCAAGUAGUCUGACUUGGAAUGAAAGAUUAAAAUUAAUAAAUCUAAAAGGUGCACUUCUUAGACAGAGUUGAAUCUGUAUGUUAAGUGAAUUCUGUGAUUUCUUUUAAUCCAGUACUGAGGAGUCUUUCCCUUAGUAAGAGUCUGUCCAUAUCCCUUUGCUGAGUCCUGCAUGAACACAAAUCUCAGCAGCAUCCAAUAAUAAUGUAGAAAAAAAUCUACAUGGCUGAAGAUUUCUUCGGAUAAUGUUACUGAAGGUUACUCAUAGCCCUGCUACCACCUUUGCUUUAAUCUGGUAGGAAUAAUUCACUAGGCCAUCAUUUGGACAUCGUAAGAUUCAAGAUGUCUUUAAAUUAAUUAUUUUCUUGCCUUUAAGUAAUUGUAAUUGUUUUCAUUAGAUUAGUCUUACAUAGCCACAUUUUGUCACCUUAUUUGCUUCUGGAAAUGCGUGCUUUUUAUUUGUUUUGAACGGGUCUGAUAACUAAGCAGGACUGUUUCUAAGAAAUUGUUUCCAUAUCUACAAGGAAAAGCUUUUAGAAUACGUUUUCUUGGGAAUAACCAAUGUGUGCUAGCUAGACUAAAAAUGUGUAUCUGUACAAUCUAUUCAUUGUUGUUUCCCUGUGACUUGUUGCAUACUCACUGUUGUGCAUUGAUUACCACCAUGUGCUGGGAAGGUGUUCUUCCUGGCAAUGCUCCAUGGCCACUGUCUCGUGGAACAAAUCACAGAAUGGUUUGAGUUGGAAGGGUCCACAAAGAUCAUCUAGUUCCAACCCCCCUGCCAUAGGCAGCAACAA
Pezoporus occidentalis (night parrot) is the source of this 1974-nucleotide long non-coding RNA. RefSeq lists it as uncharacterized. The record is from RefSeq and is a predicted model, not a curated record. The transcript is spliced from 3 exons. Lineage: Eukaryota; Metazoa; Chordata; Aves; Psittaciformes; Psittacidae.